GUCUACAGCCAUGCCACCCUAAACAUGCCCUAUCUCGUCUGAUCUCAGAAGCUAAGCAGGGUUGGGCCUGGUUAGUUCUUGGAUGGGAGACCAACUAGGAAUACAAGAUGCUGUAGGCA
Pteropus alecto (black flying fox) is the source of this 119-nucleotide non-coding RNA. The record is from Rfam. Lineage: Eukaryota; Metazoa; Chordata; Mammalia; Chiroptera; Pteropodidae.